GGGUCCACCUCCUAAAAUGAAACCCUAGCCUAAAGCCAAGUGUCCCACACAUUGGGCUUCUACAAAAUUUGCCACAAAAGGGCCUAAAAACACCUAAUCUAAUUAAGGUUUCAAAAAAAAAGGAAAUUACACUUAAUUAAAAUGGAAGUGACUAAAUGUUGAGUCUUGAAUGAUCACGCCACCUUCCCUAAUGCUCCAAAUGAUGUUUCCAAAAUUUCCCUGCAC
RNAcentral lists this long non-coding RNA (225 nucleotides) under Vigna radiata. Its description in RNAcentral is "long non-coding RNA (VRAD_LNC011457)". Lineage: Eukaryota; Viridiplantae; Streptophyta; Magnoliopsida; Fabales; Fabaceae. The record is from RNAcentral.